Molecule: unclassified non-coding RNA, 335 nt
Filed under: soil metagenome
Description: partial contains 5.8S ribosomal RNA, internal transcribed spacer 2, and large subunit ribosomal RNA
Rfam family: 5.8S ribosomal RNA (bases 1-120)
Source: RNAcentral
GAUGAAGAACGUAGCGAAAUGCGAUAAGUAAUGUGAAUUGCAGAAUUCAGUGAAUCAUCGAAUCUUUGAACGCACAUUGCGCCCGCCAGUAUUCUGGCGGGCAUGCCUGUUCGAGCGUCAUUUCAACCAUCAAGCCCCAGGCUUGUGUUGGGGACCUGCGGCUGCCGCAGGCCCUGAAAACCAGUGGCGGGCUCGCUGUCACACCGGGCGUAGUAGAUUUUAUCUCGCUCAGGGCGUGCUGCGGGUCCCGGCCGUUAAAAGCCUUUUUUUACCCAAGGUUGACCUCGGAUCAGGUAGGAAGACCCGCUGAACUUAAGCAUAUCAAAAGCGGAGGA